RNAcentral lists this ribosomal RNA (117 nucleotides) under bacterium. RNAcentral also lists the same sequence under 1 other name. The record is from RNAcentral.
GCUGGUGCCAAUAGCGGUGGGGAAACACCCGGCUCCAUUCCGAACCCGGAAGUUAAGCCCACCAGCGCCGAUGGUACUAAAGGGGCAACCCAGUGGGAGAGUAGGUCGGUGCCAGCC